RNAcentral lists this ribosomal RNA (450 nucleotides) under uncultured bacterium. Its description in RNAcentral is "bacterial SSU rRNA". It matches the Rfam family "Bacterial small subunit ribosomal RNA", at positions 354 to 796 of the family's 1533-position model. The record is from RNAcentral.
GUGGGGAAUAUUGGACAAUGGGCGAAAGCCUGAUCCAGCCAUGCCGCGUGUGUGAAGAAGGUCUUCGGAUUGUAAAGCACUUUAAGUUGGGAGGAAGGGCAGUAAGUUAAUACCUUGCUGUUUUGACGUUACCGACAGAAUAAGCACCGGCUAACUUCGUGCCAGCAGCCGCGGUAAUACGAAGGGUGCAAGCGUUAAUCGGAAUUACUGGGCGUAAAGCGCGCAUAGGUGGUUUUGUAAGUUGGAGGUGAAAUCCCCGGGCUCAACCUGGGAACUGCCUCCAAAACUGCAUGACUAGAGUACGGUAGAGGGUAGUGGAAUUUCCUGUGUAGCGGUGAAAUGCGUAGAUAUAGGAAGGAACACCAGUGGCGAAGGCGACUACCUGGACUGAUACUGACACUGAGGUGCGAAAGCGUGGGGAGCAAACAGGAUUAGAAACCCCUGUAGUCC